UUGAACGCUGGCGGCAGGCCUAAAACAUGCAAGUCGAACGCUCUAGCAAUAGGGAGUGGCGCACGGGUGAGUAACAUGUGGGAAUAUGCCUUUUGGUACGGAACAACUUUUGGAAACGAAAGCUAAUACCGUAUGGUCCCUUCGGGGUAAAGAUUUAUCGCCAUUGGAGGGGCCCGCGUUCGAUUAGGUAGUUGGUGAGGUAAUGGCUCACCAAGCCGACGAUCGAUAGCUGGUCUGAGAGGAUGAUCAGCCACACUGGGACUGAGAUACGGCCCAGACUCCUACGGGAGGCAGCAGUGGGGAAUAUUGGACAAUGGGGGCAACCCUGAUCCAGCAAUGCCGCGUGAGUGAUGAAGGCCUUAGGGUUGUAAAGCUCUUUUGGCGGGGACGAUGAUGACGGUACCCGCAGAAUAAGCCCCGGCUAACUUCGU
Molecule: ribosomal RNA, 431 nt
Filed under: uncultured bacterium
Lineage: Bacteria
Description: bacterial SSU rRNA
Rfam family: Bacterial small subunit ribosomal RNA
Source: RNAcentral